Molecule: long non-coding RNA, 895 nt
Organism: Folsomia candida
Lineage: Eukaryota; Metazoa; Arthropoda; Collembola; Entomobryomorpha; Isotomidae
Exons: 2
Source: RefSeq, a predicted model, not a curated record
ACAUGCCGCAAUGCAACUCAAUGUAUAAACUUAGGUGGACACAAAAGAUGAAGGAAGAAGAAGUGGAAGAACUAUUCAUAAUGCGACGCACGUCUCUCCAGCCCAUCACGGAAUAUCUACAUCAUCACACAACACGCUGCCUCCUCUCCUCGAGUAAUUUCCACUUUCACUUUCUCCACAAUCUGUUCGCUUCUCAAACCGAACAAGGAACGCCAAAGCCACCACCACCACCGCCCUCAUCAUUCUUUUCGAUGCAGUUGAUUUCCUCGACGACUUUGUGCGUGUGCACAAAUCCGACAAAAUCCACGCAUUUUUACAAGUUUACUACAUACCUGAUUUGGACAAACACUGGAUGGAGGACGAACUUUGGACAUGGUCACGAGUAAAAGCGAACGACCAAAAGCGCACUUAUACAAGGGACAAAAAGUCUUUAUCUCGAUCCGAAUUGGGAAAGAGCAUCCGAAAGGAAGCAACAAAUUUAUAUCGGGGACAUAAGCCGUGAUUUGUAGGAGGGAAAAGGUUACAAUAAUUCUGCUCCGUAAGCCGGAGAAAAUAGGAAUGUGGGAAGGAAUAGGAUUGCACUGGAAACGUUUAAUGGUCAUGUCCACUCAUACUUUUAAAUAGUGCAGAAUUUUUUAUGGUAAAAAAAGUUACGUAAUUUUUUUUAGACUUUAUAAAGAUCCUUAAUUCCUAAUGUGUCAAAUACUUUACUAGCGACAUGAUUAACCUGUUGAACUAACAAAUCUUUGAGUUUUGCCACUAAAUUAUGAUGUGUAUGCGACCAUAAAUAAGAAUUGUACUCAUUACAUAACUUAAAAUUUGAAUAUGUACCCACUAAUUUUCCAAGUAAAGAUCUAAAUUCAACAAAAUAAACACCCUCCCCCUCCAUCCUGCA